RNAcentral lists this transfer RNA (73 nucleotides) under Erysipelotrichaceae bacterium MTC7. It matches the Rfam family "tRNA". Rfam says of the family: Transfer RNA (tRNA) molecules are approximately 80 nucleotides in length. Their secondary structure includes four short double-helical elements and three loops (D, anti-codon, and T loops). The record is from Rfam by way of RNAcentral. Lineage: Bacteria; Bacillati; Bacillota; Erysipelotrichia; Erysipelotrichales; Erysipelotrichaceae.
GCGGUCGUGGUGAAGCGGUUAACACAGCGGGUUGUGGUCCCGUCAUGCGAGGGUUCAAAUCCCUUCGGUCGCC